AUACAUGCAGUCGAGCGGACAGAAGGGAAGCUCUGCUUCCCGGAAGGUUAGCGGCGGAGGGGUGAGUAACACGUGGGUAACCUGCCUGUAAGAGUGGGAGAACUCCGGGAAACCGGAGCUAAUACCGGAGAGUUCCUUGAACCGCAUGGUUCAAGGAUGAAAGACGGUUUCGGCUGUCACUUACAGAUGGACCCGCGGCGCAUUAGCUAGUUGGUGGGGUAAUGGCUCACCAAGGCGACGAUGCGUAGCCGACCUGAGAGGGUGAUCGGCCACACUGGGACUGAGACACGGCCCAGACUCCUACGGGAGGCAGCAGUAGGGAAUCUUCCGCAAUGGACGAAAGUCUGACGGAGCAACGCCGCGUGAGUGAUGAAGGUUUUCGGAUCGUAAAGCUCUGUUGUUAGGGAAGAACAAGUGCGAGAGUAACUGCUCGCACCUUGACGGUACCUAACCAGAAAGCCACGGCUAACUACGUGCCAGCAGCCGCGGUAAUACGUAGGUGGCAAGCGUUGUCCGGAAUUAUUGGGCGUAAAGGGCUCGCAGGCGGUUUCUUAAGUCUGAUGUGAAAGCCCCCGGCUCACCGGGGAGGGUCAUUGGAAACUGGGAAACUUGAGUGCAGAAGAGAGAGU
RNAcentral lists this ribosomal RNA (629 nucleotides) under Bacillus sp. (in: firmicutes). RNAcentral's name for it is "bacterial SSU rRNA". It matches the Rfam family "Bacterial small subunit ribosomal RNA", at positions 51 to 661 of the family's 1533-position model. Lineage: Bacteria; Bacillati; Bacillota; Bacilli; Caryophanales; Bacillaceae. The record is from RNAcentral.